AACGCUGGCGGCAUGCCUAACACAUGCAAGUCGAACUUUCUUAGUGGCGAACGGGUGAGUAACGCGUGGGCAACCUGCCCUCUAGAUGGGGACAACAUCCCGAAAGGGGUGCUAAUACCGAAUGUGACAGCAAUCUCGCAUGAGGACGCUGUGAAAGGGUGGCCUCUACUUGUAAGCUAUCGCCUGAAGAGGGGUUUGCGUCUGAUUAGGUAGUUGGUGAGGUAACGGCCCACCAAGCCGACGAUCAUAGCCGGUCUGAGAGGAUGAACGGCCACACUGGAACUGAGACACGGUCCAGACUCCUACGGGAGGCAGCAGUGGGGAAUCUUCCGCAAUGGGCGAAAGCCUGACGGAGCAACGCCGCGUGAGUGAUGACGGCCUUCGGGUUGUAAAGCUCUGUGAUCGGGGACGAAUGGUCAGCAGACGAAUACUCUGCUGAAGUGACGGUACCCGAAUAGCAAGCCACGGCUAACUACGUG
Molecule: ribosomal RNA, 479 nt
Filed under: uncultured bacterium
Lineage: Bacteria
Description: bacterial SSU rRNA
Rfam family: Bacterial small subunit ribosomal RNA
Source: RNAcentral